Oryza sativa Japonica Group (Japanese rice) is the source of this 1926-nucleotide non-coding RNA. Lineage: Eukaryota; Viridiplantae; Streptophyta; Magnoliopsida; Poales; Poaceae. The record is from RefSeq and is a predicted model, not a curated record.
CAUAUAGAGUGCAAGCCAGUAGUAGAUUUAUUAAAAAUAGUUGAUAAAUGGCUGUUGAUAGAAAAUUAGGAUAAAAAAUUUCGCAAAUUUCUAACCUAAAGAUUUACAUCGCAAUUUGUGCUCCGGCAAUCCCAACUCUUUCUACUCCAGCUCCGAAGAUUCCUUUCCCCCAUCUCCGGCAAGCCUAUGGGACUAGCAGCAGCCUGACAAGUUAGUGUUUAGUGUGUCAGGUUGGUAAGGUGGGAGGAGGAAGAUGGGGAAAACCACCAGGCUUACGGGGAUGACCAUGAGAGGCAACGGCUUGGCGGUAUGCAAUGGACACGGACAGGUGACAAGGCAUUAGUGGUUGCACUGGAGCCGUGGGAAUGAAGGAGGGUUUGGGCCAUCGUUGGGGCGUGGACAAACCGGAGCAUGUGUUUAUAAGAAUUAGGCGGUGGCAGCGGAUCCAGUGGCAGGGAACCAUUGGAGAAGGGGAAAACGAAGGGGCGGCAGAAGCGACGAAGGCCGACCAAGAAGGCCUUCACUACUAGAAAUCCCAACAUUAAUGACCAGCAGAAAAUUGUAAUCCUCGUUAUCCUCUGAAUACGAGUGGUGAGGAGCUGAUUUUCUAAUCCGACGACCACUAAAUAGCUCGUCGUUAAAAUUUGCUGCUACACGGUCAUUAAAAUUGACGUGAAGGAGGCCCAUGACUCCACAAAACCACCACCAUCCAUCCCAAGCACCAGCAGCCCAACCCACUACACAAGCCACCGAGGGUUUAGGGAGACCUCCUCCAAUCCGUGACGGUAGCCGCCGCCUACCCCAACUGCGUCGCUGGCUGCCUACCUCCUGCCGCGCCUGCACUGCCGGCCGUCGCCUCUAGUUCCACCUGCGCCAUCUAGCCGCCACCACUGCGCAAGUGAGCACAAGUGAGGCUGGGCGCUGCAGGGGUGCACCUCGCCGUCGAGGGGAUCAGAGGCCGGCUGGAUCUUUUGAUCUGCCCAUGUCGACCCGAUGACCCCAACAUCAUCUCCACGUCACCACCUAUUCUCCUCGCUAGUCGCCGCCCUAAUUGGGAGGUGUUGCACGGCAAAAACUGACGCACAGGGCUUGUCAGCAGUUACUAGAUUAUUGUCUGGUAGCAUCGUAAUUUUUUCGGAGACAUCUUGAUGUACUAAAGGAUUUCAAGAGAAUGUUUUUUUUAUGAGAACUCGAGAUAAUUGAAUAGCAAUGGAGAGGCAGCUUGAUCUGGCAAGAACUGACGGGUGCAGUACUACACAAGACAGUAACCUCUUUUUUAUGCCUUUUUCCAUUCAACAAAAUUCAUGUUACAUAACCGAUUGAAUGAUCUUGGACACAAAUAAUGGGAGCAUCAUUUUGUUCUCAGAUUAUUCUAUUGGUUAUAUAUUUUGACAUUUUCAGUUCAAAUCUAUUUUAGUAGGAACCAAGAUGAAUACACUCCAUUGGCCUGACUAAAUUAUAGUCAGGUAGUAUUCCAAGUUUUCAUUAGUUCCUACAAGAUCGGUCAUUGAUGGGCUUGAUUUUUUGCCCGCAAGGCCACAACAAGUUGGAUGCAACACAAGAGCUAUUUCCAUAUCUGUAAAGCUAUUGCUGACACACUAUCUAAAUUGGAAUCAUAUGAAACUAGAUGGUGACAAAGCAUUCCUCAUUCCUUAAACAAAAUUUCUGGAUCAAUGGUGAGACAGAUGAGACUGGUGCAUCUGAAGACAAUACCUGCGAAUGUUGAUGGGAUCAUCAUCGUAUAACAAAGGAAUUUGUCCACUACACCUCCAAGCACAUACUUAUAGAUCGAGUGUUUAAUUUUGAUAGACAUCAAGAUGUUGGUUCUGUUUGAAUGACUUAAUUAUUUAGCUGGAUGCGGUGAACAAAUUUUUAUUAUGUAUUGCAAUGAAUAAAUGUGGUUGAUUGUCUACAAUUGGUCAGAAC